AGAGUGCAACCUUAAGUGGGUGGUAAACUCCAUCUAAAGCUAAAUAUUACCACGAGACCGAUAGCAAACAAGUACCGUGAGGGAAAGUUGAAAAGAACUUUGAAGAGAGAGUUCAAAAGUACGUGAAACCGUUUAGGGGUAAACGAAAAAGAACUGAAAAUCCGAAAAGGGAGAUUCACGUCUUCUCAUUUGUUAAGAAUAAUAAUAUUUAGGAUAAAUAAUAAGCUGUGCAUUUUUAAUGUAUUAGUAUUAUUAUUUGCCUUAUUUUAUUAUUUCUUAGCUAUGGUGGACCGCAAUUCUCUCUAAGUAGGACGUCGCGACCCGCUAACUUAUAAUCUAUGUGCAAAUAUUUAAGUCUUAUUAUUAUAUAUUGUUACUUUAUGUAAUAGUAUAUUUAAUAAUAAGGUUAUUUGUUUAUCUGAUUAAUUCGUUGGCGGUAAAAAACGAUAGUGUUUAGCCGCCUUAUAUGGCGUUUAAUUUUAUACUUUUAUAUUUUUAAUAAUAUUAAAUAUAUUGGAUUAUUUAAAUCCUUAUUUAAUUUAUUAAUUAUAUUAGUUUAAAUUAAAACGGCUUGCAACACUAGUCAGCGGCGCUACAGUUUCAGUAACUUUUUCGCAAGGAGUCUAACAUGUGCGCAAGUCGUUAGGUGUAUUAAAACCUAUAGGCGAAACGAAAGUAAAGAAAGCUUUGCUUUAAAAGGGAGGAUGAUUUAAUUUUUAUAUUUUAAUAUAAAAAUAAACCCGCACUCCUGGGGCGUCUAUUACUCAUUUUUGAGUAAAGAGGCACCUAGAGCGUACACGUUGGGACCCGAAAGAUGGUGAACUAUGCUUGACCAGGAUGAAGCCAGGGGAAACCCUGGUGGAGGUCCGUAGCGAUUCUGACGUGCAAAUCGAUCGUCAGAGUUAAGUAUAGCGGCGAAAGACUUAUCGAACUAUCUAGUAGCUGGUUCCCUCCGAAGUUUCUCUCAGGAUAGCUGGUGCCAAUGAUGAUAAAGAGUCUCAUCCGGUAAAGCGAAUGAUUAGAGGCCUUGGGGCCGAAACGACCUCAACCUAUUCUCAAACUUUAAAUGGAUGAGAGCCUUGGCUUGCUAAAAAUUGAAGCCAUGGACUUGGAUCUAGGUACCAAGUGGGCCAAUUUUGG
RNAcentral lists this ribosomal RNA (1140 nucleotides) under Chinannus sp. CW-2013a. RNAcentral's name for it is "eukaryotic LSU rRNA". It matches the Rfam family "Eukaryotic large subunit ribosomal RNA", at positions 277 to 1140 of the family's 3401-position model. The record is from RNAcentral. Lineage: Eukaryota; Metazoa; Arthropoda; Insecta; Hemiptera; Schizopteridae.